This 497-nucleotide ribosomal RNA is filed under the name uncultured bacterium. RNAcentral describes it as "partial 16S ribosomal RNA". It matches the Rfam family "Bacterial small subunit ribosomal RNA", at positions 28 to 507 of the family's 1533-position model. The record is from RNAcentral.
GACGAACGCUGGCGGCGUGCCUAAUACAUGCAAGUUGAGCGAUGAAGAUUGGUGCUUGCACCAAUUUGAAGAGCAGCGAACGGGUGAGUAACGCGUGGGGAAUCUGCCUUUGAGCGGGGGACAACAUUUGGAAACGAAUGCUAAUACCGCAUAACAACUUUAAACAUAAGUUUUAAGUUUGAAAGAUGCAAUUGCAUCACUCAAAGAUGAACCCGCGUUGUAUUAGCUAGUUGGUGAGGUAAAGGCUCACCAAGGCGAUGAUACAUAGCCGACCUGAGAGGGUGAUCGGCCACAUUGGGACUGAGACACGGCCCAAACUCCUACGGGAGGCAGCAGUAGGGAAUCUUCGGCAAUGGACGAAAGUCUGACCGAGCAACGCCGCGUGAGUGAAGAAGGUUUUCGGAUCGUAAAACUCUGUUGGUAGAGAAGAACGUUGGUGAGAGUGGAAAGCUCAUCAAGUGACGGUAACUACACAGAAAGGGACGGCUAACUACGUG